GGGCGCUUGGCGCAGUGGUAGCGCGCCCGCUUUGCAUGCGGAAGGUCGAGGGUUCAAACCCCUCAGCGUCCA
This 72-nucleotide transfer RNA is filed under the name Fistulina hepatica ATCC 64428. RNAcentral's name for it is "tRNA-Ala (TGC) (tRNA-Ala-TGC-2-1)". It matches the Rfam family "tRNA". From Rfam's summary of the family: Transfer RNA (tRNA) molecules are approximately 80 nucleotides in length. Their secondary structure includes four short double-helical elements and three loops (D, anti-codon, and T loops). The record is from RNAcentral. Lineage: Eukaryota; Fungi; Basidiomycota; Agaricomycetes; Agaricales; Fistulinaceae.